UGGUGGAGUGAUUUGUCUGGUUAAUUCCGUUAACGAACGAGACCUCGACCUGCUAAAUAGUUCGUGGAAUCUUCGGAUCCCACGAUACUUCUUAGAGGGACUAUCGGCUUGUAGCCGAUGGAAGUUCGAGGCAAUAACA
This 139-nucleotide ribosomal RNA is filed under the name uncultured eukaryote. RNAcentral describes it as "partial 18S ribosomal RNA". It matches the Rfam family "Eukaryotic small subunit ribosomal RNA", at positions 1299 to 1458 of the family's 1831-position model. The record is from RNAcentral.